CUACGGGAUGCUCCAGCGGGGAAUAUUGCACAAUGGGCGCAAGCCUGAUGCAGCAACGCCGCGUGAGGGACGACGGCCUUCGGGUUGUAAACCUCUUUUAGCAGGGAAGAAGCGAAAGUGACGGUACCUGCAGAAAAAGCACCGGCUAACUACGUGCCAGCAGCCGCGGUAAUACGUAGGGUGCAAGCGUUGUCCGGAAUUAUUGGGCGUAAAGAGCUCGUAGGCGGUUUGUCGCGUCUGCUGUGAAAAUCCGAGGCUCAACCUCGGACCUGCAGUGGGUACGGGCAAACUAGAGUGCGGUAGGGGAGAUUGGAAUUCCUGGUGUAGCGGUGGAAUGCGCAGAUAUCAGGAGGAACACCAAUGGCGAAGGCAGAUCUCUGGGCCGUAACUGACGCUGAGGAGCGAAAGCGUGGGGAGCGAACAGGAUUAGAUACCCGGGUAGUC
Molecule: ribosomal RNA, 444 nt
Filed under: uncultured bacterium
Lineage: Bacteria
Description: partial 16S ribosomal RNA
Rfam family: Bacterial small subunit ribosomal RNA
Source: RNAcentral